GGCUUACCAUGCAAGUCGAGGGGCAGCAUGGUCUUAGCUUGCUAAGGCUGAUGGCGACCGGCGCACGGGUGAGUAACACGUAUCCAACCUGCCGUCUACUCUUGGCCAGCCUUCUGAAAGGAAGAUUAAUCCAGGAUGGCAUCAUGAGUUCACAUGUCCGCAUGAUUAAAGGUAUUUUCCGGUAGACGAUGGGGAUGCGUUCCAUUAGAUAGUAGGCGGGGUAACGGCCCACCUAGUCAACGAUGGAUAGGGGUUCUGAGAGGAAGGUCCCCCACAUUGGAACUGAGACACGGUCCAAACUCCUACGGGAGGCAGCAGUGAGGAAUAUUGGUCAAUGGGCGAUGGCCUGAACCAGCCAAGUAGCGUGAAGGAUGACUGCCCUAUGGGUUGUAAACUUCUUUUAUAAAGGAAUAAAGUCGGGUAUGCAUACCCGUUUGCAUGUACUUUAUGAAUAAGGAUCGGCUAACUCCGUGCCAGCAGCCGCGGUAAUACGGAGGAUCCGAGCGUUAUCCGGAUUUAUUGGGUUUAAAGGGAGCGUAGAUGGAUGUUUAAGUCAGUUGUGAAAGUUUGCGGCUCAACCGUAAAAUUGCAGUUGAUACUGGAUGUCUUGAGUGCAGUUGAGGCAGGCGGAAUUCGUGGUGUAGCGGUGAAAUGCUUAGAUAUCACGAAGAACUCCGAUUGCGAAGGCAGCCUGCUAAGCUGCAACUGACAUUGAGGCUCGAAAGUGUGGGUAUCAAACAGGAUUAGAUACCCUGGUAGUCCACACGGUAAACGAUGAAUACUCGCUGUUUGCGAUAUACGGCAAGCGGCCAAGCGAAAGCGUUAAGUAUUCCACCUGGGGAGUACGCCGGCAACGGUGGAACUCAAAGGAAUUGACGGGGGUCCGCACAAGCGGA
RNAcentral lists this ribosomal RNA (896 nucleotides) under uncultured Bacteroides sp. RNAcentral describes it as "bacterial SSU rRNA". It matches the Rfam family "Bacterial small subunit ribosomal RNA", at positions 45 to 933 of the family's 1533-position model. The record is from RNAcentral. Lineage: Bacteria; Pseudomonadati; Bacteroidota; Bacteroidia; Bacteroidales; Bacteroidaceae.